Molecule: small nuclear RNA, 58 nt
Organism: Rattus norvegicus (Norway rat)
Lineage: Eukaryota; Metazoa; Chordata; Mammalia; Rodentia; Muridae
Product: U7 small nuclear RNA
Source: Ensembl
GAGUGAACACGUCUCCUUUAGAAUUUUUCUAACAGGAUUUCUUAGUCAGAAAUCCCAA